This 486-nucleotide ribosomal RNA is filed under the name Mycosphaerellaceae sp. MU-386. Its description in RNAcentral is "eukaryotic LSU rRNA". It matches the Rfam family "Eukaryotic large subunit ribosomal RNA", at positions 96 to 596 of the family's 3401-position model. The record is from RNAcentral. Lineage: Eukaryota; Fungi; Ascomycota; Dothideomycetes; Mycosphaerellales; Mycosphaerellaceae.
AAGCGGCAACAGCUCAAAUUUGAAAUCUGGCGCAAGCCCGAGUUGUAAUUUGUAGAGGAUGCUUCUAGGUAGCGACCGGUCUAAGUUCCUUGGAACAGGACGUCAUAGAGGGUGAGAAUCCCGUAUGUGACUGGCCCGCACCUUCUACGUAGCUCCUUCGACGAGUCGAGUUGUUUGGGAAUGCAGCUCUAAAUGGGAGGUAAAUUUCUCUAAAGCUAAAUACCGGCCAGAGACCGAUAGCGCACAAGUAGAGUGAUCGAAAGAUGAAAAGCACUUUGGAAAGAGAGUUAAAAAGCACGUGAAAUUGUUGAAAGGGAAGCGCUCACAACCAGACUUCUAGGCAGUGUUCCGCCGGUCUUUUGACCGGUCUACUCUCUGUCUCGAGGCCAACAUCAUCUGGGACCGCUGGAUAAGACCUUAGGAAUGUAGCUCCCCUCGGGGAGUGUUAUAGCCUCUGGUGAUGCAGCGAGUCUCGGGUGAGGUCCG